This 253-nucleotide ribosomal RNA is filed under the name uncultured bacterium. Its description in RNAcentral is "partial 16S ribosomal RNA". It matches the Rfam family "Bacterial small subunit ribosomal RNA", at positions 524 to 776 of the family's 1533-position model. The record is from RNAcentral.
UACGUAGGGGGCAAGCGUUGUCCGGAUUUAUUGGGCGUAAAGCGCUUGUAGGCGGUUUGUCGCGUCUGCUGUGAAAAUCCGGGGCUCAACCCCGGACUUGCAGUGGGUACGGGCAGACUAGAGUGUGGUAGGGGAGACUGGAAUUCCUGGUGUAGCAGUGAAAUGCGUAGAUAUCGGGAGGAACAUCCGUGGCGAAGGCGGCCACCUGGGCCAACAUUGACGCUGAGGCACGAAAGCGUGGGGAGCAAACAGG